CCUACGGGAGGCUGCAGUGAGGAAUAUUGGUCAAUGGGCGCGAGCCUGAACCAGCCAAGUAGCGUGAAGGAUGACUGCCCUACGGGUUGUAAACCUCUUUUAUCAAGGAAUAAAGUGAGGCACGUGUGCCUUUUUGUAUGUUCCCUAUGAAUAAGGAUCGGCCAACUCCGUGCCAGCAGCCGCGGUAAUACGGAGGAUCCGAGCGUUAUCCGGAUUUUUUGGGUUUAAAGGGAGCGUAGAUGGGUUGUUAAAUCAGUUGUGAAAGUUUGCGGCUCAACCGUAAAAUUGCGAUUGAUACUGGCAGCCUUGAGUACAGGUGGGGUAGGCGGAAUUCGUGGUGUAGCGGUGAAAUGCUUAGAUAUCACGAGGAACUCCGAUUGCGAAGGCAGCUUGCUAAACUGCCACUGACAUUGAUGCUCGAAAGUGUGGGUAGCAAACAGGAUUAGAUACCCUUGUAGUC
RNAcentral lists this ribosomal RNA (460 nucleotides) under uncultured bacterium. Its description in RNAcentral is "partial 16S ribosomal RNA". It matches the Rfam family "Bacterial small subunit ribosomal RNA", at positions 338 to 795 of the family's 1533-position model. The record is from RNAcentral.